RNAcentral lists this long non-coding RNA (1023 nucleotides) under Oncorhynchus mykiss (rainbow trout). RNAcentral describes it as "lncRNA (ENSOMYG00000072440.1)". The record is from RNAcentral. Lineage: Eukaryota; Metazoa; Chordata; Actinopteri; Salmoniformes; Salmonidae.
AUGUUGUCUCUCCUUCAUCACCUUCAACUAUUCAUCUGUCUCUCUCUAGUGGUGUCUCUCCUUCAUCACCUUCAACUAUUCAUCUGUCUCUCUCUUGUGGUGUCUCUCCUUCUCUACUUUCAACUAUUCAUCUGUCUAUCUCUAGUGGUGUCUCUCCUUCUCUACCUCCAACUAUUCAUCUGUCUCUCUCUAGUGGUGUCUCCUUCUCUACCUUCAACUAUUCAUCUGUCUCGCUCUAGUGGUGUCUCUCCACUUUCAACUAUUCAUCUGUCUCUCUCUAGUGGUGUCUCUCCUUCUCCACCUUCAACUAUUCAUCUGUUUGUUUUUCUAGUGGUGUCUCUCCUUCUCCACCUUCAACUAUUCAUCUGUCUAUCUCUAGUGGUGUCUCUCCACUUUCAACUAUUCAUCUGUCUAUCUCUAGUGGUGUCUCUCCUUCUCCACCUUCAACUAUUCAUCUGUCUCUCUCUAGUGGUGUCUCUCCACUUUCAACUAUUCAUCUCUCUCUCUCUAGUGGUGUCUCUCCACUUUCAACUAUUCAUAUGUCUCUCUAGUGGUGUCUCUCCUUCUCCACCUUCAACUAUUCAUCUGUCUAUCUCUAGUGGUGUCUCUCCUUCUCCACCUUCAACUAUUCAUCUGUCUCUCUCUAGUGGUGUCUCUCCUUCACCACCAACUAUUCAUCUGUCUCUCUCUAGUGGUGUCUCUCCUUCUCCACCUUCAACUAUUUAUCUGUCUAUCUCUAGUGGUGUCUCUCCUUCUCCACUUUCAACUAUUCAUCUGUAUAUCUCUAGUGGUGUCUCUCCUUCACCACCAACUAUUCAUCUGUUUGUUUUUCUAGUGGUGUCUCUCCUUCUCCACCUUCAACUAUUCAUCUGUCUCUCUCUAGUGGUGUCUCUCCUUCAUCACCUUCAACUAUUCAUCUGUCGAUCUCUAGUGGUGUCUCUCCACUUUCAACUAUUCAUCUGUCUCUCUCUAGUGGUGUCUCUCCUUCUCCACCUUCAACUAUUCAUAUGUUUGUUUUUCUAG